RNAcentral lists this ribosomal RNA (301 nucleotides) under uncultured bacterium. Its description in RNAcentral is "partial 16S ribosomal RNA". It matches the Rfam family "Bacterial small subunit ribosomal RNA", at positions 509 to 807 of the family's 1533-position model. The record is from RNAcentral.
CAGCCGCCGCGGUAAUACGGAGGGUGCAAGCGUUAAUCGGAAUUACUGGGCGUAAAGCGCACGCAGGCGGUCUGACAAGUCAGAUGUGAAAUCCCCGGGCUUAACCUGGGAACUGCAUUUGAAACUGUCAGGCUGGAGUCUUGUAGAGGGGGGUAGAAUUCCAGGUGUAGCGGUGAAAUGCGUAGAGAUCUGGAGGAAUACCGGUGGCGAAGGCGGCCCCCUGGACAAAGACUGACGCUCAGGUGCGAAAGCGUGGGGAGCAAACAGGAUUAGAUACCCCGGUAGUCCUUGUCUCUUAUAC